UUGGGGCCUUUUCAUGUAAUGAGCGGCUGGCGUAUUUUGUCAUAGUUACACUGA
This 54-nucleotide small nuclear RNA is filed under the name Eremothecium sinecaudum. Its description in RNAcentral is "HCLSNR63". Lineage: Eukaryota; Fungi; Ascomycota; Saccharomycetes; Saccharomycetales; Saccharomycetaceae. The record is from RNAcentral.